ACACAGUCAGACACACACACUCACUAGCAGACACACACACACUCACUGACACACAGUCAGACACACACAUACACACUAACAGACAAACACAGUCAGACACACACACUAACAGACACACACUCACUAGCAGACACACACACAAACUCACACAGACACUAACAAACACACACAUUAACAGACACACACUCACUGACACACACACUCACAGGCAAACACACUCACACUAACAGACACA
Molecule: non-coding RNA, 235 nt
Organism: Pelobates cultripes (western spadefoot toad)
Lineage: Eukaryota; Metazoa; Chordata; Amphibia; Anura; Pelobatidae
Source: the annotation of a GenBank genome assembly